This is a long non-coding RNA of Equus caballus (horse), 1614 nucleotides long. NCBI's taxonomy places the organism in Eukaryota, Metazoa, Chordata, Mammalia, Perissodactyla, Equidae. The record is from Ensembl.
GCGUCCUUGGGCCCUCCCUCCAGUUCACACGGGACUUGGUGAGGACAUAAGCUACUGCACGCUCAGUGUGGCUUCCAAUUCCUCUGUAUUUGAAAGCAGCUGUGUGUAUUUUCCUCAAAAUGCCCUCUAUAUUCAGAGCAAGCAGUGUGAAUAUCACUCAGAAGUUACUACAGGGAUUUUUCUGACAAGGUUUGUGUGGGUUUUUAAAAUCUUAUACAAACAUCCCUUUUUAAGAUAAGAGAACAGCUUUGGGUACAACAUUGAACUCCACCCAACAUGAUAAGGAAAUGUUUUUAAUGCCUGAUAGAUCUUUUUAAAAGCUUUGGUCAUUUAACGGGCAGUUUCAGAGACUACACAGUAUCUAAACUAACGAGAAUCCUGCACCCAGACACUGUUCUUCAUUGACAGAACUCUGUAAUCCUUGUUCUUGGUAGAGCCCUUCAGAGUCCUCGAGGAAAGUCAGAAGAACACGGUAGUUCCAUCCUGACCAGAUCCUUUACGUAGUUCUUAAGGCUUGUCGGCGACUUAGUGCGCAGCACAGUGCGUCUAAAUAGGAGUCAGGAGUCUAAAUGGGUGACCUCGGGCUGCUUACGGGCAGGCCUGCAGGUGGAGUCCAGCCAAGCAGCUUCCUCACCCCAGCUCUUGGGUUGUACUGCCAUAACAGCCAGGUCGCAAAACUUGAAAGGCUCCUAUUGUACAACAUGUGUCUGUCUGGUAAGGAAACAUUCAGUCACCAGAUACAUGUGAACUGGACCGUCAGUCCUGUAGGAUGCCCUGGGAGGGCAGUGAAGUCCCAGGGGAGUGAGCCACGUGUGGGUUUGAGCUCAUCGAGAAGUCACUAGACACAGCUGCCUGCUGCCUGUUACGUGUCCCGCACCCUUUACAGCCAGUUGUAUGACAUACUUCAGUUUUAUUUUAUAGAAAGCUAGGACUAGAUUAUAAAGAACACUAAACGCAUUAUUGUGCUAUGUUAAUAUCACAGAACUUCCAUUAAAAUGGAUUUUAGGAUUUACCUUGAGUAUUGAUGACUAAUUGUUAGGAUUCAAAACCAGUUAAGUGAUAAGAAUCAAUUGAUGUGGUUUUCCUAAGUAAGAUUCAUAAAACGUGAAGUUUCUAAGUGGCUCCCCAACAAUUAGAAUUCUUCAUGACUUUUCUUACAAAUAAACUUCUAUCAGGGUCAAUGUCUCAAUUCAGCUACUACAGACAAAACGCUACGCCAGACUGUCGGGGGAGCCGACACACGGACAGAGUGAGAGGUGCAGACAGGUCUUUGUGCUGUGGCACAUUUGGAAACAUUUCACAGCAGUCGUUUCUGCCACAGCUAAUUAUUUAAUAGUCAGGAGAGAUGUUCCAAGAACAAGCUUGUGUAGUUUUAACUGGCAUUUAAUUUCUGGACUGACGCUCAGUGAAGCUGUUCAGCAGACUGACAGUCACCUGCAGGAGAAAGCAGAGGCCCGAGAGCCCGGUUGAAGUGUUACUCUGUCAAAUAUUUAUUCCUGUGUGACAUGCUAGAUUCCCAUGGAUGUAGCUGAUCAUUUGUAUUUUGUUAAUAUUACCUAACUUUACAUAAACUCUAUCAUAAUAAAAUAUUUUUUGCAUCACCCUUUGCAUGCU